UCUGGGAUUAGAUACCCUGUUAUAUAAAAGUAAUUUUAAUAAAAUAAAAUAGUAUUAGUUAUAUUCUUGAAAUUUAAAAAAUUUGGCGGUAUUUUAUUCUAUUUAGAGGAACUUGUUUUUUAAUUGAUAAUCCUCAUUUAAUCUUACUUAAUAAUUUAAUUUAUAUAUCGUCGUCAUCAGAAAAUUUUUAAAAAAAAAUAAUUUUCUAAAAUAUCAAUUUUUAAUUAUGUCAGAUCAAGGUGUAGUUUAUGAUUAAGUUAAAAUGAGUUACAAUAAAUUAAUUUAUAAUGAAUAUAAAUAUGAAAAAUUUGUUGAAGGUGGAUUUAUUAGUAAAAUUAUUAAGUUAAAUAAUUUGAUUUUAGUUUUAAAAUAUGUACAAAUCGCCCGUCACUCUCUGA
This 398-nucleotide ribosomal RNA is filed under the name Eumanota humeralis. Its description in RNAcentral is "partial 12S ribosomal RNA". The record is from RNAcentral. Lineage: Eukaryota; Metazoa; Arthropoda; Insecta; Diptera; Mycetophilidae.